GAGGAAAGUGGGGGAUCGAAAGACCUCAUGCUUUUGGAGCGGCCGAUGUUUGAUUAGCUAGUUGGUAGGGUAAUGGCCUACCAAGGCGACGAUCAGUAGUUGGUCUGAGAGGAUGGCCAGCCACACUGGGACUGAGACACGGCCCAGACUUCUACGGGAGGCAGCAGUGGGGAAUUUUGGACAAUGGGCGAAAGCCUGAUCCAGCAAUGCCGCGUGAGUGAAGAAGGCCUUCGGGUUGUAAAGCUCUUUCAGUUGAGAAGAAAAAAUUGUGACUAAUACUUGCAAUUCAUGACAGUAUCAACAGAAGAAGCACCGGCUAACUACGUGCCAGCAGCCGCGGUAAUACGUAGGGUGCAAGCGUUAAUCGGAAUUAUUGGGCGUAAAGGGUGCGCAGGCGGUUUUGUAAGUCAGAUGUGAAAUCCCCGGGCUUAACCUGGGAAUUGCGUUUGAAACUACAAGACUAGAGUGUGGCAGAGGGGGGUGGAAUUCCAUGUGUAGCAGUGAAAUGCGUAGAGAUGUGGAAGAACAUCGAUGGCGAAGGCAACCCCCUGGGUUAACACUGACGCUCAGGCACGAAAGCGUGGGGAGCAAACAGGAUUAGAUACCCUGGUAGUCCACGCCCUAAACUAUGUCAACUAGUUGUCGGAUCUUAAUAGAUUUGGUAACGUAGCUAACGCGUGAAGUUGACCGCCUGGGGAGUACGGUCGCAAGAUUAAAACUCAAAGGAAUUGACGGGGACCCGCACAAGCGGUGGAUUAUGUGGAUUAAUUCGAUGCAACGCGAAAAACCUUACCUACCCUUGACAUGUGCAGAAUUUCACAGAGAUGAGAAAGUGCCCGAAAGGGAGCUGCAACACAGGUGCUGCAUGGCUGUCGUCAGCUCGUGUCGUGAGAUGUUGGGUUAAGUCCCGCAACGAGCGCAACCCUUGUCAUUAAUUGCUACCAUUUAGUUGGGCACUUUAAUGAGACUGCCGGUGAUAAACCGGAGGAAGG
RNAcentral lists this ribosomal RNA (992 nucleotides) under uncultured beta proteobacterium GaN50324. Its description in RNAcentral is "bacterial SSU rRNA". It matches the Rfam family "Bacterial small subunit ribosomal RNA", at positions 199 to 1173 of the family's 1533-position model. Lineage: Bacteria; Pseudomonadati; Pseudomonadota; Betaproteobacteria. The record is from RNAcentral.